AACAACCACAUUCACUAAAUACAGUUUAGGUUAUUUUAGGAAACAUGUUAUAUGUUACACCUCCGACUAAACAAAAAAAAGGUACUCUUAAUUAAUUAAAGUCAAUUUCCUCUUCAGAUACUUUACCUCGAAUGCCGCCCAGAGUUUCCGGGACAAUGAAAAUCAGCAUGGCUACAUACACAUCGAAAUCACACUUUAUAUAUUCUCUCACUUCCUUUUAGUGGCACGUUGAAGAGCACCAUUCAGAGCUGACCUCUUUGCCAGGAGAACAGUAUGGUCGUGCUCUGUUGUGUACUCGUCCAAUUUCACAAAGUAAAUAUGUCAUUGCUGUGAUUGCUUACUUAGAAAGAAGCCAGAGAAGAAUUGAGUCCAUGUUAUCUCUGGAGGACCCACUCUCACAAAAUUGCUUCUCCCCCAUGAAAUAGCGAGCAGGAACUCUUCAAUCCAAGAGCUUUUUCACAAAGAACAAGACACAUCAUAGCAAUCUUCAAAGCCCUGUUUGUGGUGCCUUGUGGGACCCCAUGGUACAUUUUCCCUUAAUCAUGUUUUUGUGGGUAUGUCACCAAAUCUUUCCAAAGAGUACUUUAUGUGAGUCUAAUCUAAAUAGAGAUGCAUGUUGAAAAUAAAAGCGCAAAGCCGGCCUUUAUCAUAACAUGUUUGAAGGAAUGAAAGAGGGAUGCUGUGUUCACACGCUGCAAAUGAUUCAUUAAAACUUUUGAUUUCACUAUUGACAAUGUAAAAAAGGUUCAAGGUGGAAUAAAAAGGGUUGAAGCUUUGCAAAAUAACAGUUUUAAUGGUAAGUAUAGAGAUGUAAAAUGUAAAGUUAGUUUAUAAUCACAUCACAAAACAAAAGGAGCAAAGCAAGUUCUGUUUCUGUGUGUAUUUAUUCUUAACGCUACACACACAGAAAGAGGUACGAGAGAAGAACAGUUUUGUACUUAAGGGUACACUUUGGAAGAACGUUCCCUCAAUAAUACAGUAUUGGUCUUUAAGAGGUCAUAAGUGUACCUUUUGACUAACAGAAAGGGUACAAAGUGACUUAAAGCAAAAGAAAGAACAAAUUUGUACCAUUUGAAGGGGUACAUGCAGUAUUCGAAGUAAUUGUAUGUAUUAUAGGCCUAUUAGGCCUAUUAGUAGUUAUAGUUGAGGUAUUUAGAACUAUUAUUAUUAUUAUUAUUGUUAUAAGCCUUUUAUUAUUGGCAACAUUUAGUUUUAGCUCAAUGUGAAGCAUGAGACUAUUUUGUUCUACAAAUCUGUUGACGUGGUGUUUUUGUUUUGAGCUCAGUCAGUUUGGAAAAGCCUGCCUCACACAAGUAUGUGGAGGUAAAAGGAAGGAGAAGUUUUAAAGCCGUAUCCGGAUAUUCCCUCAUCAGUGCCACCCAGAAGAUCACAAGAGAACAAGUGGCAAAAAGAUGCCCCAACCUGCCAUCCCUGUUCAGCUCAAUAAAUUGUCCCUGCAUUUCUGAAGACAGACAAAUAAUUUCCUGUGCAGAUAAAUGGGUCUAAUUACCCACCUGAACUAGUCUUCUAAAAUCACUGUAAAUCACGGUUUGGUGAGCUUUUAUUAAACGGUUACUAAAAUGGUUGCUGUAGCCGUAACCUAGUUGCUGUAGCUGUAACCUAGUAACAUAAAAUGUGAUUAUUUACUGAAAAAAAAUCCUAAUUCUUCUGCCAAAAUAUAGUUCCCCAAGGGAGCACACUGGUUGUCAAGCAACAGCGGCGCACUAAUACCAGAGACGUCAAACUAGUGCCGAGCAGGACAGACAGGAGUCCGUUCACAAAAAAAAGAAAAGUGUCCAUUCACGAUUCAACUGUUCAUUCAGUAGCUAUGUCACUCAGGGGGCUGUCCACGGAGGAACUUUUACAAAAGUUGGUGGUGGAAGGAGGAAUCCACAUUUCAGAAGAGGAGGCUCAGAAAUUUUGAGACAAUGAUGUGGAUGGAGAGACAGUAGACUGCAGACUCACAGAAAAUAUGAUUGCAUAUCUCUUUGACAAGUCUUUCAAAAAGCAGCUAAAAUUCAGAGACUUCACACACCGCUACAAGGAGGUCACCGUUACUUUGGAAUUGGUCAACCCAGAACAACAAACAUGUGAAGCUUCUGUGUCCCCAGCAAACCAGAGGUUGGAGUCUACUUGCCACAGACUGCCUGCAGUCAUUUCCAUUCCACAAUUCCCACAAGAUGUCCAGAGCCGCUUAGAUGCUAAAGAAUCGGUCCACAAGAAACAAAAGUACCGUAACAAAAUAAUUGUGACUCUGUAUGACAUGCUGUCACAGUGUACAAUGUAUCCAACCAACUCGGACUACGUUCAGGUCGUUAAAGCGUUCAUUGGGAAGUACCCUUUCUUAAGGGAUGUACACGGGAAUGGUUAUCAUACCUGGCACAGCCAACUCAAGAGAAAAUUCAAAACAGAACGGGCUCCACUAAUCAACAAUGAGGAAGUAAAACGGGUCAAAGAAAAGUUUCGGCAAGCAAGAUCACUGAAGACCCCAGAAGAAUCUACAUCCACAUGUCCAAAACGACUGAAGCCAUCUCUAGAAUCAUGCAUUGUGGGGGAGGAUGCAACCUCUGUUGAGGCUCAUAUCAAGGUACUGCUUGAGCAAUACAGAAAGUUGCAGCCUGACAUGAAUCUGGUGAAAGACCGCAUGAUGAAAACCUUUGCAUGGAGACGCCGAGAAAUAGCAAAAGGAAUGUCAACUGAAGAUCUGUUGAGGAGAUAUCCAUUCCUAAGAACAUCCGCUGGGUUGUGCGAUGAGGUUGAUGCCAUGCACCCCUCUCCAGUCAACAUAUGCCACCGCAUCAGUGAGAACUUCACAUCUAUUCUCCCAAAUAUGCUGAAACUUGUCAAGGAUUCGCCACUGAAAAAACUAUACAUGGAAGCAAGAGAGGAUGCCUUGGCUGAGGAUAUUAAAAGGAAUUGACUUCAGGGGUGGACUCCUCCUCUUGCCAUCCAUAUUCAAGGAGAAGAUUGAGAAUUUCAUUAUGCUUGGACAGAAAAAUCCAUAACUCCAUACCCAACCGUUCAACUGAAAGCACAAGGGUGGAAAUUUGCCCUCUUCAGACAGUGCCAGAGUGUGGUCAAUGUCGAGGGAAUUGAGGUCUGUUCUUGCACUUCGGUGGAUGAGGCCUUCAUUGCAGCCUUCUGCAUGUACUUUGUCUUCAACAUGGCAUAUCCUGGAUACUUGAAGAAGACACUGACCUUUCUCCAGAGGCUCAUCGCAAACAUCACGGGGGAUGGAGACAAAUCCCUGCCGGUGACUGUAACUCAAAUUGUCAACCUUCUUCACUGAUCAUGCCUGGACUGCAUCAGUGUACAAAAUGCUCAAAGAGGACCUUUACUCUUAGAAAACUGAUUCAUCAUAUUGGACUUGUACAUGCACACGACCCUCAUUUCAACAUAAGCUGUGGGAUAAGUAACUGCCAGUCUGCUAGUAUCAUUCUUUUAGGCGGCAUGUUUAUCGAAAAUUCUUGAAAAUUAAGUUCAUUCUGAACGUUGAGACUUUGUGGGUGUUGUGUGGGAAACUUUUACUGCCUUGCUCUUAUGACAAUCACUUCCAUGCUUACCACGUCAAAGUUGACAAUGACUGGAUUUUACUCAGUCCAGGAAAUGAGUUGGACCAUCAAGCUCUCGACACAUAUUUAGUUGAUGAUAGACUGUAUGUUUCCUUGAGGUAUUCUGUGUAAGUAUGUUCUAUCUAAAUGUGUGUUACUUUUUGAAGUAUUCUGCCUCAUGUUAAUGUGACUGCAAUCUUUACAUAUUGUAAUGUUAUGCAUUGACAUUGAUUCAUUUUAUAUGUAGCUAUAUAGAAUUGAAUGAAUUAAGAUUUUUACACUAUAAAUGCUGCCAUGUUCAUCUCAAAACAUACAUUUUCAUUGAUGUUAAUAAAUGGUAAAGAAGCAAUUAUUGUGUAGACAAUUCUGGUACAUUUGUCUCCUCCAGAAUAGCUUGUCACUGGGGGGGGUACCCUUUUAAAGUACAGGAAAGUACCCUUUCAAUGAGGUACAUUGCUGUACCUUAUAGAUUAAAAGGUACAUUUAUGUCUUGCAGGGUACACAACUGUACUUGAACUGGUACAAUUUGAUAAGGUACAUAAAUGGACUGGGACUGAAAGGUACACAAUUGUCUCUCAAAAGGGUACCUCCCCUGCGACAAGCAUUUGUACCGAUUUAGGUACAAACUGGUACCUCAAUUUUUGAGUGUGUACUGACUAGAAAGUGAUAUUUCAGAUUCAUAACUUGUCUGCCUGAGCUCACUUUGAACCACAUCUGUUCAUACUAUGAAGUAUAAACUAUAUAUA
Molecule: long non-coding RNA, 4297 nt
Organism: Gasterosteus aculeatus aculeatus (three-spined stickleback)
Lineage: Eukaryota; Metazoa; Chordata; Actinopteri; Perciformes; Gasterosteidae
Source: Ensembl